RNAcentral lists this ribosomal RNA (1188 nucleotides) under uncultured euglenozoan. RNAcentral's name for it is "bacterial SSU rRNA". It matches the Rfam family "Eukaryotic small subunit ribosomal RNA", at positions 764 to 1805 of the family's 1831-position model. The record is from RNAcentral. Lineage: Eukaryota; Euglenozoa.
AAACAGCGUGCUUAAGGCUGGAUCAGUAGAUGACAAAGCUUGCUAUAUCAAUGAACCGACCGGUUAUGUGCGGUUUGCAGGUUUCUGCAUGUAAUAGCGGGGAGUCUGAGCUUGUUGGCGUUGGGAAUGUACCCAUCGGCUCACCUCGGUGACCGUGGGACCACAGACCCAAUCAGCUACUCGUUUCAACGAUAUUAACAGGGACCGAUGGAGCAGUCCGUAUUGUCAGACGAGGGGUGAAAUCCUUAGACUCUGACAAGACGAACAAGGGCGAAAGCACUCUGCUAAGAGGCCUUCAUUAAUCAAGAACGAGAGUGCAGGGAUCGAAGAUGAUCAGAUACCGUCGUAGUCUGCUACUGUAAACGAUGCAAACUAGGGAUCAGUUGAUGGGACAACAUGAUUCUGUUGACUCGGUUGGUACCUCCGCUUCUCUCUUAACGCGAAAGCUGUAAGUCUUCGUGUUCAGGGGGGAGUACAGUUGCAAGGCUGAAACUUAAAGGAAUUGACGGAAUGACACCACAAGGCGUGGAUGCUGCGGCUUAAUUCGACUCAACACAGAGAAUGUUACCAGAUCAUGAGGUUUGGAGGAUUGACAGAUUGACAGUUCUUUCUUGAUUCAGUUAAUGGUGGUGCAUGGCCGCUCCUGGUUGGUGGAGUGAUUUGUCUGGUUGAUUCCGUUAACGAACGAGAUCCCACCCCUUCGAUUUCAGUUAUAUCGUACGUAAUCAUUGGACGCUAGCUCAUGUGGUUCGUCCGUUGGUGAGAUCUAAGAUGUAUGCAAGGGGACUAUGUGUGUUGAUAACACAUUGAAGUCUGGGCCAAUAGCAGGUCUGUGAUGCUCCUAGAUGUUCUGGGCUGCACGCGGCAUACAAUGGUGAAAGCAGUAGGAUUGGUUCGGUCGAGCUCCUGUUUCGAAAGUAUUGGGAAAUCCCCUCAGAUUUGACUGUGGCUGGGAUAGACAAUUGCAACUGUUUGUCUUGAACUAGGAAUGCCUUGUAAGCACAUCUCAUUACAGUGUAUUGAAUGCGUCCCUGCCGUUUGUACACACCGCCCGUCGUUGCAAUCGAUUGGUUUGAUCGUAGAGUACUUCUGGAGAAACACCAGCAGGCUCUCUCGAGUCUGAUGAUUGGGUUGAAGUUGAGCAAUACUGUGGAACUAGAGGAUGCAAAAGUCGUAACAAGGUAGCCG